RNAcentral lists this ribosomal RNA (478 nucleotides) under uncultured bacterium. RNAcentral describes it as "bacterial SSU rRNA". It matches the Rfam family "Bacterial small subunit ribosomal RNA", at positions 8 to 453 of the family's 1533-position model. The record is from RNAcentral.
AGAGUUUGAUCAUGGCUCAGGACGAACGCUGGCGGCGUGCCUAAUACAUGCAAGUCGAGCGAGCUUGCCUAGAUGAUUUUAGUGCUUGCACUAAAUGAAACUAGAUACAAGCGAGCGGCGGACGGGUGAGUAACACGUGGGUAACCUGCCCAAGAGACUGGGAUAACACCUGGAAACAGAUGCUAAUACCGGAUAACAACACUAGACGCAUGUCUAGAGUUUGAAAGAUGGUUCUGCUAUCACUCUUGGAUGGACCUGCGGUGCAUUAGCUAGUUGGUAAGGUAACGGCUUACCAAGGCAAUGAUGCAUAGCCGAGUUGAGAGACUGAUCGGCCACAUUGGGACUGAGACACGGCCCAAACUCCUACCGGAGGCAGCAGUAGGGAAUCUUCCACAAUGGACGAAAGUCUGAUGGAGCAACGCCGCGUGAGUGAAGAAAGGUUUCAGCUCGUAAAGCUCUGUUGGUAGUGAAGAAAGAU